GGAUCCCUCCCCCUCUGCCUCGGCCCCCACCCCAACCUUGAUCCUUAAAUAAAUCUCAAUCCAACAUAAAUAAUUCUCAGCCUAAUUAUUAAAUCUCGGCCCCAACUGCCAAUUAAAAUUGGUCCAUGCUCGAUUCUCUUUUAACAUUUCCAGCCCAGUAAUUAAAUAGAAGCAGUGGCCCAUAUAUUCCCUUUUAAAUACUAAGGCCCAACCAAAAAACAAUUAAAUGGCCCAAACCAUUAAUUAAGAUCAGUCCAAGUAUACUAACCCUUCUCAUCUUUCAUCGUGACUUCCCAAAUCAUUCUCCCCAAAUUUCUCCAAAAUAAAUCUCUGAGCCUCGCUUCUCCCUUCUCUGGUGAAUCGUCGUCUCUCUCUCUCUCUCUCCCCUCCCUCCCUUCGUCUUUUCCGGUGAGCUCAAGGCCGGAGCGUCUUCCUACGUUUCCGACGAGUCCCUCUCAAAUUUCAGAUCUGAAAUCCUUAGAUCGUGAAGGAAGGUACAACGCUUCCAGCCGCCCCUCCCUGAUACGGAGAAACCCGUAUCAAUGAUAAUUGGCGAGAAUUCGCCGGAUAUUGAAGGUCCGUACGUGGAGGAAUCUCCGUCGAGCAACCAAAUUCACACGCCAACGGUUUGGCGGUGUAAGAAACUUUGCGGAAAAGAAAAGAUAAAAGAACAAUAAAAAAUGAUUUGAUAUUUCUUGAAUUCAUAAUAUGAAGUCUCCUACACAUGUUUAUAAUAUGUGGGGAUACAAUAAUAUCCUACUAAAAUAUAGUAAAUCAAAUCAAAUAAUAUCCUAAGCAAAAAAAUGUAAAGAAUCAAUAAACUAUAAAAAAGUAAGGUAAAUCAAUACUAAAUGAAUAAUAAUAUAUGGAGGAUAAUCCCGAAGAUAUGAUCGUAUCAACUCCCCCAAGGUUGAAAUUCACAUUGUGGAAACCAAGAAGCGAGAAGGCGGUCCAACGCAGAAAUUUGGCUACCAUUAAAUACUUCAAGAAUCUAUAUCCCCAUGCUUGGAAGUUGCCAAUACAAUUGCACAACAUCUGCUGGUGCAAUCAUCAAUCUCAGUCCACAAAAAUUCAAGUCAACCCCACUAAUUACAGCCACUCCAUUAGCACCCUUGAGACCACAGUACUCGCAAUAGGUCUCAGCUCCAACUAGGGGCAGUUUUAGAAUACUCCAUAUCUCCUCAAACAUAUUCGUUAUUGAUGCACAAUUAGCACUAUGGCGAACAAGACGCAUCCCCUCUGUCAAUUCCUUGCUGCAAAGAUGAAAAUUGUCCUCAUCAAGUUCCAUGACUGUCCCCUUAGCAACGAAACCUCCAGCUUGAUUCAACUCUACUCCUCGGUCAAGGUGCAAAGAUAACAGCAUUGCAUUGGCAUCAAAAGAUUCAACUCCAAUAAUUUUCACUUGUUUAAGUACCCAUUGAACAUAGGAUUCAAUCUUCUUCUAAUCCCGAGCAAAGUCUUGUGAGAUACUCUCUCCUGGAUCAAACGUACAAGACUGUUGUUUUGCACUUACUCGACUAGUCGAAAGCGAAGCAAUAUUGUGGUUGAAAUCUCCAUUUGCUGUCGCACCAAACUCUGGCUGGUCCAGAUUGUUGUCUGACUUGCUCAACCCCACACGAGCCACUAGUUCCCUUGCAUAUGUCAGAUUAUGAUCCCUCUGCCAAAAUCUUCAUUGGGAGCACAAUUAAGAAAGGAGCUUUCCUUUGCACCCCGUUCUUCAACAAAUAUACCUCUAGCAUAAGCUCCAGCAACACCAUGAAGUGCAUAAUAGCAUAAUGUUAAUUGCAGAUAUGAAAAUAGCUUCCUGAAAGUCUGGAAAUCUACAAUAGACUCCCUCAAUUUGACAUAGUCACUUGUCGGAUCAAAACCAUCAAUGUUGAUCUACUCGUCUGCGCUAAUGAAGUUACUCAAUUCAAUUUUGUAGAUAUCCACCCCAGGUAGGUCAUCAGCAGCAUCCUCCCGAAGGUCACCAUGCUUCUCCUCGUUAUUCUUGGAAUCUUCCACAUCAGUAACUCCCGAGAGUUCCACCAAAAUAUCAAGGUUGAAGUCUUUAACAUCAUUAGUUAAUAAAUCCUCCCUCGAAAACAAAGCCAAUUCCUUCAAGUCAUACUCAUGAAGGGAGUAUGGUGGAUCGGGAUCCGGUCGGAGAUUGUCGACGUGGCGAUCCGUGGCAUCUAAAGGUGUCUCAAAUUUGGCAAUGGUCGCUAACAGACGGUUGACUUUCGCCUCUGUAGGGUUCAUCGAUUGCGCAUCCUCGCGCGCAUGUAUAAUUGGAUCGCGUUCUAUGCCCUCUAUUCCAGACAUACCAAAUUGAUUGGGCGCGGAGGGAUCAGCUUAGUAUCGGCGUCAAGCGUUAAAUCACAAAAUGAAUUGAAAGAAGCAUCCUCACCAUGAUUUGGAUUUGCUCCACCAUUAAAACUUAUAUCAUCCAAAUUCCUCCAUAGCUAUUCCCUUGCCGAGAGAAGAACUAGAGCGGUCACGUUUCACACUCUCUGAAAACUCCAUGUUUAAUAAGCUGGGGACAGCCGCAAGUACAACAUGAGGGACCAAUGUUGGACUGGUAUUAUGGCCACAAGGCUGGGAGAUCACGGCUGGUGGGGGCGGGUCAUCGUCUGAUAAUUCACGCUCAUCUCCAUUAAUGUCGGAGCUGCACGGAGGAGCUGGCGGGGGCAGAUUUAAGGACAGGACAGCAGCUGCAGUAGGCAGUAGGGCGGCUGUCCGGCAAUGGCUCGUCGAACUCGCUGCGGCGUGAGGAUCGCCCAAGCAGCGUUCGAUUGCAUCCAUCUGAGACUCCAAGUCUUUUACAAUUGCAGUCAGGCGCUCGAGCUGUGAAACCAAGGCUGCCGCUGGUAGGUUCGGUUCCAAAUUCGGCAUCACCAGGUCAGAUGGCAUGCCGAGGGGCUCCAUGACACUGUUGUAAGGAGGUUGGUAUGGAGGCGCUGGCGGCUAGAAGGGUUGGUAAGGCGGCUGUGCAGCGGUGUACAUCGGGGGUCAGUCGGGUGGGUGAGGUUCGUGGCAUGGAUAGGACACCGAAGAUGGUUGGAGUGGAUACUGGUAGGUCUGCGGCGGCUGCUGGUAUUGCUAAGGCGGCUGCCAUGGAUUGUCCCAGCGAUUUGCAAGGGCAGUGUGUACUCCGGAUCUAAAUAUGAGUACCCAAAUUGCGCGUCUUGUCUCUGGGGUACCAACAUGAUGUAGGGCUCGGCAUGGGCAGUGGCAAGGAGAACUGUCUGUUGAAUUGGUGAUGAUGGUAGUUAGUGUAGGUGUAUGACGUGAUGGUGGAAAUAUAGAUAAUGAGAACACGAUGAAAGCUCGAAAUGAUACAGAGAAACCCCGUAUCAAUGAUAAUUGACGAGAAUUCGCCGAAUAUUGAAGGUCCAUUCGUGGAGGAAUCUCCGUCGAGCAACCAAAUUCACACGCCAACGGUUUGGCGGUGAAAGAAACUUUGCGAAAAAGAAAAGAUAAAAGACUUGAAUGUAUAAUAUGAAGUCUCCUACACAUUUAUAGUAUGUGGGGAUAUAAUCCUACCAAAAUAUAGUAAAUCAAAUCUAAUAAUAUCCUAAGCGAAAAUAUAUAGAGAAUCAAUAAAAUAUAGAAAAGAUAAGGUAAAUCUCGUAUCACUCCAUCUCUUCUCCGGCGAGCUCUCCGUCAGGUUCCUCCCUCGGCGGAGCUGUCGAUUUGGGGAAAGAACAAAAGGCGUCACCUUUCUUCCGUGAGUAGCCGUUCCGGAUCCGCCAUCGCCGUCGCGUCGUGCUGCGGUUGUUCUCCUUCUCUGUGGAGCUCGUGCCCCGCCGGCCUGCUCCCUCCGUGAGCGCAGAACCAAAGCUGCCCCCACCGAGGAGCCCGCACCGUGGCCCUUCGAGGCUCCGUCGUCAACCGCCCGUCGCCGGAUAAUCCACUCUCUUAAGCUAAAUUUUCUUCUUUCUAUUACUUAGCUUAUUUCAUGGGUUCUACUCGGCAGUGACUAUGAGUAUUAAAAUUCUGAUUUUUGGGAGUAUUUAGCUCACUUGAAAGAGUCCUCACUUUCAUACAUGUUUAUUGUGGAACGAUUUUGGUGGAUUUGCUAUUGUUCUUGGUAUUGAUGUGAAGAUCCUAAUGAAAUUCUAAGUACUCAUGCUAUCUAUUGUCUUGUUCUAAAUUCGAUCCUGUGUUUCUACGAAACUUCCUAUAUGAUUGGUGAAUCCUUGUUGUUUUCUUGCUGCCAAUCCUUAGGUUGAGUGAAAUCUGUGGUGACUAAAUGGUGGGGGAGAGAGGAGGUAGUGAGGCGGUUUAUAUAGCCUCCGAUUCUUGGCCUCUUGUGUCUGAAAUUUGGGGAAAAGAGUCUCCUACUUUGGGGUGCAAGGUACUCUUGCCUAUUUUGCUGCCAUUUUGAUGCAAGAAUUUGCCAAGGAGUAGGAGGCAUAUGGUUGUCAAAUUUAGAGUCUUAUGUGGCCGUCGAUUGAGAAGAAAAAAGAGAAGGGACUUGUCCCAAGCCUAAUUUCUCUUACUACUCUUUUUAGCUAACAACCAAGUUCUUAGUGUUAGAAUCUUUAAAGUGGAGUUUUGUAUUCCACAGUUGUAAUAUCACAUGAUAUAAGCAAUAUAUGUAUAGGUGUAUGGUUUCGUAUGUAUAUGCAUACACAUCUCAAGGGUGGCAUGUACUUAUCCACAUUCUCAUACUCUUGUAUGUGCCACAACCUUGUGUAGUCUCUUUCAAUUUGUUUUCUCAAAAAAGUAAUGGUUUCUUUUCA
Molecule: long non-coding RNA, 4727 nt
Organism: Salvia splendens (bonfire salvia)
Lineage: Eukaryota; Viridiplantae; Streptophyta; Magnoliopsida; Lamiales; Lamiaceae
Exons: 2
Source: RefSeq, a predicted model, not a curated record